UCGAGAAUCUUUCGCAAUGGACGAAAGUCUGACGAAGCGACGCCGCGUGAGCGAAGAAGGCCUUCGGGUUGUAAAGCUCUGUCACAAGGGAAGAAACACAUAGUAGCUAAUACCUAUUAUGUUUGACGGUACCUUGAGAGGAAGCCCCGGCUAACUCCGUGCCAGCAGCCGCGGUAAUACGGAGGGGGCUAGCGUUGUUCGGAUUUACUGGGUGUAAAGGGCGCGUAGGUGGUAUUUUAAGUUGGAUGUGAAAUCCCUCAGCUCAACUGAGGAAUAGCAUUCAAAACUGAAAUGCUGGAGUGCAGAAGGGGAAAGCGGAAUUCCUGGUGUAGCGGUGAAAUGCGUAGAUAUCAGGAGGAACGCCGGUGGCGAAAGCGGCUUUCUGGUCUUGCACUGACACUGAGGCGCGAAAGCUAGGGGAGCAAACGGG
This 430-nucleotide ribosomal RNA is filed under the name uncultured bacterium. RNAcentral describes it as "bacterial SSU rRNA". It matches the Rfam family "Bacterial small subunit ribosomal RNA", at positions 355 to 776 of the family's 1533-position model. The record is from RNAcentral.